RNAcentral lists this ribosomal RNA (253 nucleotides) under uncultured bacterium. Its description in RNAcentral is "partial 16S ribosomal RNA". It matches the Rfam family "Bacterial small subunit ribosomal RNA", at positions 524 to 776 of the family's 1533-position model. The record is from RNAcentral.
UACGAGAGCCCCAAGCGUUAUCCGGAAUUAUUGGGCGUAAAGGGUGCGUAGGUGGUGUUGUUAGUCUUCUGUGAAAGGCCCUGGCUUAACCAGGGAAGCGCAGAGGAAACGGCAAUACUAGAGGAUGUGAGAGGUGUGCGGAACUUACAGUGUAGGGGUGAAAUCCGUUGAUAUUGUAGGGAACACCAAAAGCGAAGGCAGCACACUGGCACAUUUCUGACACUGAGGCACGAAAGCGUGGGUAGCGAAUGGG